Prosopis cineraria is the source of this 161-nucleotide small nuclear RNA. RefSeq annotates it as U1 spliceosomal RNA. The record is from RefSeq and is a predicted model, not a curated record. The transcript has a single exon. Lineage: Eukaryota; Viridiplantae; Streptophyta; Magnoliopsida; Fabales; Fabaceae.
AUACUUACCUGGAUGGAGUCAAUGGGUGAUCUGGAAGACUCAUGGCUUAAGUUGGUGAUCUUCAUUGCACUUUGAAGGGGCACCUGCUUAAGGUCUCCUCAAGUAGGAGAGCCUACAUCAUAAUUUGUGGCAGUUGGGGCUUGCGUUCGCGCAGCCCUUUC